CCUACGGGGGACUGCAGUGAGGAAUAUUGGUCAAUGGACGAGAGUCUGAACCAGCCAAGUAGCGUGAAGGAUGACUGCCCUAUGGGUUGUAAACUUCUUUUAUAUGGGAAUAAAAUGUUCCACGUGUGGGAUUUUGUAUGUACCAUAUGAAUAAGGAACGGCUAACUCCGUGCCAGCAGCCGCGGUAAUACGGAGGAUCCGAGCGUUAUCCGGAUUUAUUGGGUUUAACGGGAGCGUAGGUGGAUUGUUAAGUCAGUUGUGAAAGUUUGCGGCUCAACCGUAAAAUUGCAGUUGAAACUGGCAGUCUUGAGUACAGUAGAGGUGGGCGGAAUUCGUGGUGUAGCGGUGAAAUGCUUAGAUAUCACGAAGAACUCCGAUUGCGAAGGCAGUUCACUGGACUGCAACUGACACUGAGGCUCGAAAGUGUGGGUAUCAAACAGGAUUAGAUACCCUGGUAGUC
This 460-nucleotide ribosomal RNA is filed under the name uncultured bacterium. Its description in RNAcentral is "partial 16S ribosomal RNA". It matches the Rfam family "Bacterial small subunit ribosomal RNA", at positions 338 to 795 of the family's 1533-position model. The record is from RNAcentral.